GAGAAGAAUAGAAAUACAGAAANUGCUAACUAUCUGAUCUCGUGGUUAAACUCCACGAUC
RNAcentral lists this transfer RNA (60 nucleotides) under Plethodon stormi (Siskiyou Mountains salamander). RNAcentral describes it as "partial tRNA-Ser". The record is from RNAcentral. Lineage: Eukaryota; Metazoa; Chordata; Amphibia; Caudata; Plethodontidae.